This 498-nucleotide ribosomal RNA is filed under the name Triticum aestivum (bread wheat). Its description in RNAcentral is "partial small subunit ribosomal RNA". Lineage: Eukaryota; Viridiplantae; Streptophyta; Magnoliopsida; Poales; Poaceae. The record is from RNAcentral.
AUGAUGCUUUUUCUCUCCUUCUUACAGACCUGGAAGCUACAACGGCGCCACCCAACGUCGGUGCUGCAACCAGCACCAGCCGGAGCUGGAGACGACAACAAACAGAUGUUGCAACCCGCACCUGAGAGAGCUACCACCGGUGAGAAGAAAAGCUUGAGCCCAGAUACACAAAGCUGGGGCGGGUACCCAUGGAAGCUGCAACCGGCGCCUGAGAAGCUACAACCAUUGUGGGAAAAGCUACAACAGGUGAAACAAAAAGCUUCGACCAGCUCGUGUAGGCGCCGACCUGCUGCACGGGAUGCUUCAACCAUCUACGGAAAAGCUGUUAACGGCACUCGACGAAGCUACAAGCAGCGACGGAAAUUGCUACAUGCGUCAUUCUUUCUUGCAGGGACAAGAGAGAAGCAGGUGUUACAACCCAUGCGCAUCGGAGCUACAACCGUCAACCCAAAAUGCUACGACCAGUGGCAUUUUUUGCUGGAACCAGAGAAAGAAUAG